RNAcentral lists this ribosomal RNA (253 nucleotides) under uncultured bacterium. RNAcentral describes it as "partial 16S ribosomal RNA". It matches the Rfam family "Bacterial small subunit ribosomal RNA", at positions 524 to 776 of the family's 1533-position model. The record is from RNAcentral.
GACGUAGGGUGCAAGCGUUAUCCGGAAUUAUUGGGCGUAAAGAGCUCGUAGGCGGUUUGUCGCGUCUGCCGUGAAAGUCCGGGGCUCAACUCCGGAUCUGCGGUGGGUACGGGCAGACUAGAGUGAUGUAGGGGAGACUGGAAUUCCUGGUGUAGCGGUGAAAUGCGCAGAUAUCAGGAGGAACACCGAUGGCGAAGGCAGGUCUCUGGGCAUUAACUGACGCUGAGGAGCGAAAGCAUGGGGAGCGAACAGG